RNAcentral lists this ribosomal RNA (492 nucleotides) under uncultured bacterium. RNAcentral describes it as "partial 16S ribosomal RNA". It matches the Rfam family "Bacterial small subunit ribosomal RNA", at positions 29 to 507 of the family's 1533-position model. The record is from RNAcentral.
AGUGAACGCUGGCGGUAGGCCUAACACAUGCAAGUCGAACGGCAGCACAGUAAGAGCUUGCUCUUACGGGUGGCGAGUGGCGGACGGGUGAGGAAUACAUCGGGAUCUACUUUUUCGUGGGGGAUAACGUAGGGAAACUUACGCUAAUACCGCAUACGACCUACGGGUGAAAGCAGGGGAUCUUCGGACCUUGCGCGAUUGAAUGAGCCGAUGUCGGAUUAGCUAGUUGGCGGGGUAAAGGCCCACCAAGGCGACGAUCCGUAGCUGGUCUGAGAGGAUGAUCAGCCACACUGGAACUGAGACACGGUCCAGACUCCUACGGGAGGCAGCAGUGGGGAAUAUUGGACAAUGGGCGCAAGCCUGAUCCAGCCAUACCGCGUGGGUGAAGAAGGCCUUCGGGUUGUAAAGCCCUUUUGUUGGGAAAGAAAAGCAGCAGGUUAAUACCCCGCUGUUCUGACGGUACCCAAAGAAUGAGCACCGGCUAACUUCGUG